GACGAACGCUGGCGGCGUGCCUAACACAUGCAAGUCGAGCGGAGAUAGUCGAGAAGGCAACUUUUAGAAUAUCUUAGCGGCGGACGGGUGAGUAACACGUGGGCAACCUGCCUUUUACAGGGGGAUAACACUGGGAAACUAGUGCUAAUACCGCAUGAAACAUAUUACGGGCAUCUGUGAUAUGUCAAAGGAGUCAAAUCCGGUAAAAGAUGGGCCCGCGUCCGAUUAGCUAGUUGGUGAGGUAAUGGCUCACCAAGGCGACGAUCGGUAGCCGGACUGAGAGGUUGGCCGGCCACAUUGGGACUGAGACACGGCCCAGACUCCUACGGGAGGCAGCAGUGGGGAAUAUUGCGCAAUGGGGGGAACCCUGACGCAGCGACGCCGCGUGAAGGAUGAAGGUUUUCGGAUUGUAAACUUCUUUGGCCGGGGACGAAAAAUGACGGUACCCGGUUACAAGCCACGGCUAACUACGUG
This 474-nucleotide ribosomal RNA is filed under the name uncultured bacterium. Its description in RNAcentral is "bacterial SSU rRNA". It matches the Rfam family "Bacterial small subunit ribosomal RNA", at positions 28 to 507 of the family's 1533-position model. The record is from RNAcentral.